Molecule: unclassified non-coding RNA, 351 nt
Filed under: soil metagenome
Description: partial contains 5.8S ribosomal RNA, internal transcribed spacer 2, and large subunit ribosomal RNA
Rfam family: 5.8S ribosomal RNA (bases 1-120)
Source: RNAcentral
GAUGAAGAACGUAGUGAAAUGCGAUAAGUAAUGUGAAUUGCAGAAUUCAGUGAAUCAUCGAAUCUUUGAACGCACAUUGCGCCCGCCAGUAUUCUGGCGGGCAUGCCUGUUCGAGCGUCAUUACAACCCUCAGGCCCCCGGGCCUGGCGUUGGGGAUCGGCGGAAGCCCCCUGUGGGCACACGCCGUCCCUCAAAUACAGUGGCGGUCCCGCCGCAGCUUCCAUUGCGUAGUAGCUAACACCUCGCAACUGGAGAGCGGCGCGGCCAUGCCGUAAAACACCCAACUUCUGAAUGUUGACCUCGAAUCAGGUAGGAAUACCCGCUGAACUUAAGCAUAUCAAUAGCGGAGGA